UACGAAGGUGGCAAGCGUUACUCGGAAUUACUAGGCGUAAAGGGCAGGUAGGUGGUUUGAUAAGUCUGUUGUGUAAGCUCCUGGCUUAACUGGGAGAGGUCAACGGAUACUGUUAAGCUUGAGUGUAGGAGAGGGUACUGGAAUUCCCGGUGUAGCGGUGAAAUGCGCAGAUAUCGGGAGGAACACCAAUGGCGAAAGCAGGUACCUGGACUAUUGCUGACACUAAACUGCGAAAGCUAGGGGAGCAAACAGG
RNAcentral lists this ribosomal RNA (253 nucleotides) under uncultured bacterium. RNAcentral describes it as "partial 16S ribosomal RNA". It matches the Rfam family "Bacterial small subunit ribosomal RNA", at positions 524 to 776 of the family's 1533-position model. The record is from RNAcentral.